CAGAUUCAUUGUUGUUUUCUUCUCUUUUAGAAUCAUUGCUCAUUUUUUGUCGGAAAGGAGUAAGAUGAACACCCUCUUGCAAAUUAAAAUUGUAUGUGCGUGUUUACUGGUGGGUCUACAAAUCUAAUUCUUUCCAGCUCCAAAAACUGCUCUGACAAAUGACUGAUUCCAAAAUCAUCCAAGGCUUUGAACUGACAUGGAUUGUUGACAUGUUUCUUUAAACUGCGACGGAGAGAUACAGUUCUAGAUGGGAUGACUUUCAUCUGAAAUCUGAAGAACGCAAAGAGCCAGCCAUUGAAGGAGGAAGAAGUGGAAACAGCAGAUACAAAAGUCAUGAUAUAGGAAAACCUUGCUGUGCUCAGAAAAGAAAGGCCACUGGGGCUGGAACAUAGUCACUGAAAAGACCAGUGAGAGGUCUUGAGCUACAAAUUUGGAAGCCACCAGCAGGCAGACAAUAUUUAAAGCUAUGGGAGCAGAUGAGAUGGGACUAGGACAACUGAUGUUUAAAAGUAAAGAAGCCAGCAGAAGAGAUGGACAUAGAACAGUCAGAAAGAGUAUGAUGGUAAGAAAGCUAAGAGAUCAAAGUAUUUCCAGCAAAGAGUUAUCCCUGUACUAUGUUUUACUUCAAGGCCAACAAAAAAUAGAAGUGACCCCUGAAUUUGGUAACACGGAGGUUUUGGUGACCUUGACACACAGUGACAACAGAAUGGUGGGGAUGAAAGCCUGGUAAGAGUGAGUUCAAAUGUUAGGGGACGCUGAGGAAGGGAAGACAGUAAGUGCUCUGUUCUCUCUGGAAAAGUUCUGCUGUGAAUGGAAGCAGAGAGAUGAGAUGGAGGAAUGAGAUCAGGAGAGGUUCCAUUUAUUUUCUUUUCCUCUUAAGAUGAGAGAUACUGAAGCACAUUUGUAUGUAGCUAGAACGAUUCAGUAGAGGGAGGUAAAUGUUGGAGAAGGGUGCAAAGUCCUAGAGGAGAUGAAAAGAAGGGAAUCUGAUGCACAAGGGGAGGGACUGGCCUUGGAUAGGAGCAGAGACACUUCUGCCAAUGGCACAGGAAGGAAGACAGAGAACACAGUGUAGACACAGGAAGGUGUGUAGAUCUUUGUUAGGAAGACGAGUGGCCCAGUCUGAUUCCUUAAAAGUCAUUCCAAUUCAGUGCAGUUGUUUUAUGAAAUUUGAUGUACAUAUAAUAUGAAGACAUUAUAAUGAACAGGUUAAAACUGUUCAUCAGAAACAACUAGAAAUUUAAUCCUGUUAAAAGUUUUAAAUUUAUUAUCAAUAUAGCUAAUGUUCUAAAGCUAGUAUUAUUACUGAAGAUAAGUAAAGGAGGAUAUUUAACUACAGAGUGAUAUAAAAAUUAUUUAGAAGAGCCAUGAUAAAACUUAGGGAACAAAAUGCUAUUAGAAAUUACUUUCUGAUUAAUCCUUACAAGGUAAGUUAAUUAUUGG
Long non-coding RNA from Aethalodelphis obliquidens (Pacific white-sided dolphin), 1443 nucleotides. RefSeq lists it as uncharacterized. The transcript has 4 exons. The record is from RefSeq and is a predicted model, not a curated record. Lineage: Eukaryota; Metazoa; Chordata; Mammalia; Artiodactyla; Delphinidae.